GUUUGAUUGCUUAACACUUUCAGAUCCACCAUGCAACAAAUUGAGAUCCGGAGAUUGGACUAUCUUGGUAGGGGCCUUAUCAUGUAUGGAGUCAGCAGACCCCAUUCGAUGGUGGUUCACCUUUCGGAUUUCCGACACCUCGGUGGCGGCCUUCGAUGAAUUAUGAAUAGUUUUAGGGAAAUUCCUCGGUGUAGCGGGCUCCGAUUUGCUUGCCUUUGGGAUCAGCAGAGAUGGAGCCCUA
RNAcentral lists this unclassified non-coding RNA (241 nucleotides) under Hevea brasiliensis (rubber tree). Lineage: Eukaryota; Viridiplantae; Streptophyta; Magnoliopsida; Malpighiales; Euphorbiaceae. The record is from RNAcentral.